AGAGUUUGAUCCUGGCUCAGGACGAACGCUGGCGGCGCGCCUAACACAUGCAAGUCGAACGAGCGAGAGAGAGCUUGCUUUCUCGAGCGAGUGGCGAACGGGUGAGUAACGCGUGAGGAACCUGCCUCAAAGAGGGGGACAACAGUUGGAAACGACUGCUAAUACCGCAUAAGCCCACGGGUCGGCAUCGACCAGAGGGAAAAGGAGCGAUCCGCUUUGAGAUGGCCUCGCGUCCGAUUAGCUAGUUGGUGAGGUAACGGCCCACCAAGCCGACGAUCGGUAGCCGGACUGAGAGGUUGAACGGCCACAUUGGGACUGAGACACGGCCCAGACUCCUACGGGAGGCAGCAGUGGGGAAUAUUGCACAAUGGGGGAAACCCUGAUGCAGCGACGCCGCGUGGAGGAAGAAGGUCUUCGGAUUGUAAACUCCUGUUGUUGAGGAAGAUAAUGACGGUACUCAACAAGGAAGUGACGGCUAACUACGUGCCAGCAGCCGCGGUAAAACGUAGGUCACAAGCGUUGUCCGGAAUUACUGGGUGUAAAGGGAGCGCAGGCGGGAAGACAAGUUGGAAGUUGAAAUCCAUGGGCUUCGACCCAUGAACUUGCUUUCAAAACUGUUUUUUCUUGAGUAGUGCAGAGGUAGGCGGAAUUCCCGGUGUAGCGGUGGAAUGCGUAGAUAUCGGGAGGAACACCAGUGGCGAAGGCGGCCUACUGGGCACCAACUGACGCUGAGGCUCCAAAGUGUGGGUAGCAAACAGGAUUAGAUACCCUGGUAGUCCACACCGUAAACGAUGAUUACUAGGUGUUGGAGGAUUGACCCCCUUCAGUGCCGCAGUUAACACAAUAAGUAAUCCACCUGGGGAGUACGACCGCAAGGUUGAAACUCAAAGGAAUUGACGGGGGCCCGCACAAGCAGUGGAGUAUGUGGUUUAAUUCGACGCAACGCGAAGAACCUUACCAAGUCUUGACAUCCCUUGACGGUGCUGGAAACAGUACUUCUCUUCGGAGCAAGGAGACAGGUGGUGCAUGGUUGUCGUCAGCUCGUGUCGUGAGAUGUUGGGUUAAGUCCCGCAACGAGCGCAACCCUUAUGGUCAGUUACUACGCAAGAGGACUCUGGCCAGACUGCCGUUGACAAAACGGAGGAAGGUGGGGAUGACGUCAAAUCAUCAUGCCCUUUAUGACUUGGGCUACACACGUACUACAAUGGCGUUAAACAAAGAGAAGCAAGACCGCGAGGUGGAGCAAAACUCAGAAACAACGUCCCAGUUCGGACUGCAGGCUGCAACUCGCCUGCACGAAGUCGGAAUUGCUAGUAAUCGUGGAUCAGCAUGCCACGGUGAAUACGUUCCCGGGCCUUGCACACACCGCCCGUCA
This 1375-nucleotide ribosomal RNA is filed under the name uncultured bacterium. RNAcentral's name for it is "bacterial SSU rRNA". It matches the Rfam family "Bacterial small subunit ribosomal RNA". The record is from RNAcentral.